AGACCCGAAACCCGGUGAUCUAGCCAUGGGCAGGUUGAAGGUUGGGUAACACUAACUGGAGGACCGAACCGACUAAUGUUGAAAAAUUAGCGGAUGACCUGUGGCUGGGGGUGAAAGGCCAAUCAAACCGGGAGAUAGCUGGUUCUCCCCGAAAGCUAUUUAGGUAGCGCCUCGUGAAUUCAUCUCCGGGGGUAGAGCACUGUUUCGGCUAGGGGGCCAUCCCGGCUUACCAACCCGAUGCAAACUGCGAAUACCGGAGAAUGUUAUCACGGGAGACACACGGCGGGUGCUAACGUCCGUCGUGAAGAGGGAAACAACCCAGACCGCCAGCUAAGGUCCCAAAGUCAUGGUUAAGUGGGAAACGAUGUGGGAAGGCCCAGACAGCCAGGAUGUUGGCUUAGAAGCAGCCAUCAUUUAAAGAAAGCGUAAUAGCUCACUGGUCGAGUCGGCCUGCGCGGAAGAUGUAACGGGGCUAAACCAUGCACCGAAGCUGCGGCAGCGACACUGUGUGUUGUUGGGUAGGGGAGCGUUCUGUAAGCCUGUGAAGGUGUGUCGUGAGGCAUGCUGGAGGUAUCAGAAGUGCGAAUGCUGACAUAAGUAACGAUAAAGCGGGUGAAAAGCCCGCUCGCCGGAAGACCAAGGGUUCCUGUCCAACGUUAAUCGGGGCAGGGUGAGUCGACCCCUAAGGCGAGGCCGAAAGGCGUAGUCGAUGGGAAACGGGUUAAUAUUCCCGUACUUGGUGUUACUGCGAAGGGGGGACGGAGAAGGCUAUGUUGGCCGGGCGACGGUUGUCCCGGUUUAAGCGUGUAGGUGUGUGUUCCAGGUAAAUCCGGUUCACUUUAACACUGAGGCGUGACGACGAGGCACUACGGUGCUGAAGCAACAAAUGCCCUGCUUCCAGGAAAAGCCUCUAAGCAUCAGGUAACAUCAAAUCGUACCCCAAACCGACACAGGUGGUCAGGUAGAGAAUACCAAGGCGCUUGAGAGAACUCGGGUGAAGGAACUA
RNAcentral lists this ribosomal RNA (1006 nucleotides) under Salmonella enterica subsp. enterica serovar Enteritidis. Its description in RNAcentral is "partial 23S ribosomal RNA". It matches the Rfam family "Bacterial large subunit ribosomal RNA", at positions 711 to 1715 of the family's 2925-position model. The record is from RNAcentral. Lineage: Bacteria; Pseudomonadati; Pseudomonadota; Gammaproteobacteria; Enterobacterales; Enterobacteriaceae.